This is a long non-coding RNA of Pleuronectes platessa (European plaice), 3254 nucleotides long. RefSeq lists it as uncharacterized. Lineage: Eukaryota; Metazoa; Chordata; Actinopteri; Pleuronectiformes; Pleuronectidae. The record is from RefSeq and is a predicted model, not a curated record. The transcript is spliced from 3 exons.
UGUGGUGAAAGGGGCUGGGUGGAAGAUGAUGAGUUGCAGGCCAGAGGUGAGGGAGGGAUGUUGCUGGUGGACUUGCGGCGGCCCACCUUGGUGUAGCGCUGCGUGCUGAGUUUGGAGCCCAGGCCGUGGAGUGAGCUGGGCCGGAUGUGUGCGGCAGGAGAACUGGGGGAGCUGGAGCAUGGAGAUGUGCUCUGAGGAGAGUUCGUUUCUGGAAAGAAGUGAAGACAGUUUCAAUUACUUCCACAACAAGUUGCAAAAUAUUCUCUCCUGAUCCUUCGACUUAUCUAUGUCGAGGGGCCCUCAACUUUCCACAUCGACAACCCUUAACUCACCAAAGGCCUGAUGGUCGGGUGCAGGGCUACGGCACGGUGUGGAAGGGCCGGGGGAGAGGCUGUGCGUCGGGGAGCCUGGAAGACUUUCGCUGGAGGAAACGGAGUGAUGGAGACCAGAAGAGAAACUGCGGCUGCUGUGAAUCACCGUGCUCUGCUUGGACAGCUUCUUCAAGAUGCUUCGUCGCCUUGGAGAGAAGGAAGAGUCAGAGAUCUGAUCCUGUGUUGUUCAAAUAAAAGAAGACUUGCAACAGAUACAACAUGUAAAACACACAAUGACGAGCUACGCAGUGUGUUUGUGAGUCAAAUCAGUUUUAGAUCUUGUGGAGACACCCACCGACACCAUGUGAUGCACUGUGUAGAAGUCACUGUCGCCCAUGUACACGCGGAUGGCCUGUAGGGUGAAGCCAAACUUCUUCCCAGAGGUGUGGAUGAUGAUGGGCGGCCUCAGGCUGCCAGGGCUGAGGGAAAAGUCCCGGCUGGGUGAUGAGUCACGAGAUGAGGGGUUGGAGGACAGGGAGCGAGGGGAGAUGGGACUUGGCUGCAGGCCCCCGGGGAAGCCUCUGUCUAUCUGGUGUAUCCAGCUGGUUACCGAAGCGCCGAGGGCCGACAGGCUCCUUGGGGGAUGAGUGUUUGGCCCCGGUGCUGUUACUGCGAAUCCUGAUCCUCCGAAGAUUGGAGACGACAACCUCGGCUGCAGGUUACACAGAUUCAAGGGCAAACAUGUGAAAAUGCUCUGGUCACACUUCUAAUAGAAUCACUGGUAAAUGUGAACAGACAUGCAGGGAAACGGAUCAUUCUGGAUUUACCUUCGUCAUCAGUGGAGAGGGCAAAGCGAGGCAUCGUCUCCAGGCUGUGGGUGCUGCUCAUCACCAGAGGGCUGGGGCUCCUCUCAGACUGGGAGGAGCUGGAGGAGGCUCGAGGGCGAAGGCUACAAACAGACCAGUUGGACAAGUGAUCACACCAACGCUCUGUUUUCAAUGACUUGCUGUUUUCACACACAUUCAAGGGAAUGAUCGAUGGACUUGUGAACAAUUCAUUUCCUACAUUUUUCUUAAGGUGUACAACAAUAACACAGAAAAUGUGGAAUCAAGGCGGGUUAUGACGUCUAGGAAGAUGUACUGUGUUUUACUUGUGCCCACCUUGCCAUACGUUCAGCAUGUCUGCGCUCCACACUGCCAUCUGCUGGGCCUGGGGAGAGACUGAAUCCUCCCAUGUCCCUGCGGUCCUCCUUAUCCUCACUGUGGCUACGGUCGGAGGAGAAACUUAGGUUGGAAGGUGUCGCCAGAUGUUCUGUGCUGCUGUAAACCUGUGACGAAAAACAAGGGAGAUGUUUUGAAGAAGAGGGCCUGAGUACUGAAGACCUUGCAGAUGAUUUUUAUGGCAUAGUCAGGAUAUUGGAGGUCUACCUUGUUAGCACUAAAUUAACAUCGGUAAUUUCUUACCUUUCAAAUAUGCCUCAAGUAAACAUUGUAAAUAUACAUAGAAAUAACCCUGCGAGUUUCUUUAGUACCCGUUUCUCUAAACCUCCACGUCCCUUAUCAUCUACCAGUCCUUACCUUGCUGAAGCGAUGCGACCAGGAAGAAAACUGUCUGAUUUCCAAGGAAGACUCUUCGUCGUUGGUUUCCUCAUCCUCAUCAGACGCCAAGUGAUGGUAGCGUUCUGAUCGAGCUGAAGACAGAUACAAAAAAUGAAGCUCGAAAUCUUUUACAAAUAGAGUCUUUAGUAGUUUUAUCUAUGAUUCAUUGUGUGUUAUGUUGUCAAUCAGCCACUGCAGAAAAUGCUGCACAAUGGCGCUGCUUGUUUUAUUUGCACGAGAAAUCCCUCAUUAAGUCUGUAGUCAGGUUGCAGUAUUAAUUGGAAGACAUUAUAUAUCAUCUCAACUGUAACCUACUGUCGAAGUAGCUGGUGUCGUCCUCUGCUUCCAGCUGAGGGAUGAAUUCAGCUUUCUGCCGCAGGAGACCAUUCCAGUCCAGGCCCAGGAAGAAGGGGUGAUGCUUGACUUCUGGAGCUCCACCUGCAAACACAGUUUUCACCGUCAGUUGAACAAUGGAUCAUGAUCGGUGAUAAAUAUUGUAUAAAAUGCCCUCUCAUACAUCAUGUGUUUCUUUUUCCAAUUGCUAUCAAUUCUAAAUUUUGCUUUUCUCUAAGUUCUUUAUAAAGUUUAAUAUAGGUCUUAAUGUGUUGAAGAGGGAGUCACUAUUUUAUCUUCCCACCAGCUACAUAUAUCUUGCAUUGGAUUUAGAUUUUUGGAUAAAACGCCCUCAGCCGUACCGGUUCCCAGUCGGUCUAAGGGACUCUGCCUCAGCAGGCGGGUAAUCAGGUCCUGGGCCUCAGACGGUAAAGCAUCUUCUCCAUCAGGCCAAAUUAUGUCAUCUGCAAAUCACACAAAUAUAAGUACGUGAGAGGAGCAAAAACUAAGGAGCAGUAAAUAACAAUAAAACAGCUUAUGCAUAUGUAAAGGUCUUAUCAUACUGUUUGCAGCAUGUUUGGAAAUCUAUACAGAAUCCAGCUGGCAAUGACACAUUUCUUUUAAUUUAUAUGAAUUUAUUUUAAACAUUUUAAGUAAUAAAUAAAACUAAUUAAUUACAUUAGCUAACACUGCAAUAUCAACUACAUUCUGUGAUAAUGGGAACAUUUUAUAUUAGAAAAACAUAGAUCUCAGCUUCUGUUUUCUACGUUUGACAUCACAUGUCUAGUAACCCUGGUAAAUUUUUUCUCGAGGCUUGUCAACUCAUCACUCACCACUGACCACCUGACCGAAAAGUUCCUCAGGCGUGUCUCCAAAGAACGGGACACAGCCGACCAGGAAUUCAUAGAGGAUGACCCCCAUCGCCCACCAGUCCACAGGCUUCCCGUAGCCCUGUCUGAGGAUCACCUCCGGGGCGAUGUACUCUGGAGUGCCACAAACCUGCGAAAAGAAA